This 947-nucleotide long non-coding RNA is filed under the name Marmota monax (woodchuck). Lineage: Eukaryota; Metazoa; Chordata; Mammalia; Rodentia; Sciuridae. The record is from RNAcentral.
AAUUUGGACUAUAAAAUUAGAAAACAUGAGAACUACCAUACAUUUUAUACACUGAUAUGCUCUUUUUUUGAUAGUGAUUCUUAGAGCACUGGAUUGUAUCAAACAGCCCAUCAUGGUCAUUUGGAAUUCCUUUAAGUGCAUUGUGAAUUCUGUGAGUCUGCCAGGAGUCCUCAAUCAGUAAAAUUUGCAAAAGUAGAUCCAAAUAAGGCUGAAGUUCAUAAGUAUAUGAAUAGGCAACCUGCCAUUGAAGUUCACUGAGGACAACAGAGGAGAACUGAAGAUUCUCCCAGGAGCUGAACUGAAGUAACUUAAUGGUCUCCUCUGAGUUACUGCAGCCUUCAAUAAUUUUCUUCACAUAACUUACUCUCACAAAUAAAAUAUCUGCCACAUUCUGCUGAAUUGGCAUUCUGGGUUAUAAUAAAGUAGGGUCACAAAAGGAUUGGGCGGGGGGAUUACCAUUGAUUAAAGAUUGUAUUUUGUAUGUUUUGUUUUGUUUUUUUUGGUAGAAUUUGUUAGGUUUUGCUUCUGCUGGAUCCCAGUUAACUAACUGUGUACAUUAUCAGAAUUCACAACAAUAAGUACUAUUAUACCAAGAUGCCUGGCUGAUUUUUAGUCAGUCUCAAUUUUACUUCAAAGCAAAAUGGUCCUAGUUCUUUUUCCAUUCCCAAAUUAUUGUUACAUAUGGAGUUUGAUUAAGAUGCAAACUUAAAGUACCUUUUUAGAGUAAACUUUUGUUUAGGAAUUCCAACAAAUUCUUAAUGUCAUAUUUAAAGGAGAAUUGCUAGCUUUUGAAUGUAUGUAAUAUUUUGGAAGCUGUCUAAAAACAAAAUAUUCCUGCAAACAGAUAUAGCCCAUCCUUUACUGUUUAAAUAUUUUGCUGUUUUGUUUUAUAGAAAUUAUUUUUGCUGAAUUCUCAAAUAGAAUUUAAGAAGCAAAAGAAUUAGAAA